This 169-nucleotide ribosomal RNA is filed under the name Paracaesio caerulea (Japanese snapper). RNAcentral describes it as "partial 12S ribosomal RNA". The record is from RNAcentral. RNAcentral also lists the same sequence under 1 other name. Lineage: Eukaryota; Metazoa; Chordata; Actinopteri; Lutjaniformes; Lutjanidae.
CACCGCGGUUAUACGAGAGACCCAAGUUGUUAGACACCGGCGUAAAGAGUGGUUAAGAUAAAUCAGACACUAAAGCCGAACGCCCUCAGAGCUGUUAUACGCACCCGAAGGUAAGAAGUUCAAUCACGAAAGUGGCUUUACACCAUCUGAACCCACGAAAGCUAUGACA